GAGUCAUGUAAAGGUUCCCUUCGCAUUUCCUUCCUGUCUCAUUUCUGCCUCUUCUGUUCAGGGUAGAAAAUGGUAUGCCUAUGUGACAGUUUCACAGCUUCUUUUCCCUCCGCGCCUGCCUUUGUUACGGUACGAGAAAAGGAAUAUAUUUUCUGCAUCUAAUAUGCUUACGUUCUUGCCGAAUGUAUUUCAGUUCUUCGCCCGCUCAUAGCAUAGAGACUGCAACUCCAGCACAAGUUUUUCUCCACUUUCAGGGUGCGCCGUCACUCUCCACAAGGUGAUGUAUCUGGAUACAAAGGGUGGCUGUAUAAUCUUAGUACAGGACAUCGGAGAUGGCAAAAAGGGAUGCCAGCUCCUGCGUACAGAACUGACUAUUGAAACGGAAGUGCCAAAGGAAUGCUAUAAAGUGUAUAAGGAGAACUGCAAAGGCGAUGUGCUAAAAAUGUAUGAGAAGAAGUGCAAACAUUAUAACCAGGUUCUAAUACCGCGUACUUUGUAAACACACUUUAUAUGUAUAGCUUACCACACUGCACGCUUUGACAUGUACUAAAUAAAAUAAACUUACGACAGUAAA
Molecule: long non-coding RNA, 574 nt
Filed under: Dermacentor andersoni
Lineage: Eukaryota; Metazoa; Arthropoda; Arachnida; Ixodida; Ixodidae
Description: uncharacterized LOC126519135
Source: RNAcentral